AUCUUAUGGUUUGGGCAUUUGGCCAAUAUUCUAUGGAAUAUCUCUCAUACUUCAUAUAGAGGCUCACCAUUAUUUUGCCUAAAAUUCAUAUUUUCAUCUCUUGAGUC
Molecule: small nucleolar RNA, 107 nt
Filed under: Capsicum annuum
Lineage: Eukaryota; Viridiplantae; Streptophyta; Magnoliopsida; Solanales; Solanaceae
Description: Plant small nucleolar RNA R71
Rfam family: Plant small nucleolar RNA R71
About the family: R71 is a member of the C/D box family of snoRNAs containing the C (UGAUGA) and D (CUGA) box motifs. Multiple nearly identical copies of this snoRNA have been identified in Arabidopsis, and it is thought to function as a 2'-O-ribose methylation guide for 18S ribosomal RNA.
Source: Rfam by way of RNAcentral